GAUGAACGCUGGCGGCGUGCCUAAUACAUGCAAGUCGAGCGAACAGACGAGUAGCUUGCUCCUCUGACGUUAGCGGCGGACGGGUGAGUAACACGUGGAUAACCUACCUAUAAGACUGGGAUAACUUCGGGAAACCGGAGCUAAUACCGGAUAAUAUAUUGAACCGCAUGGUUCAAUAGUGAAAGACGGUUUUGCUGUCACUUAUAGAUUGAUCCGCGCCGCAUUAGCUAGUUGGUAAGGUAACGGCUUACCAAGGCAACGAUGCGUAGCCGAUCUGGGAGGGUGAUCGGCCACACUGGAACUGAGACACGGUCCAGACUACUACGGGAGGGAGCAGUAGGGAAUCUUCCGCAAUGGGCGAAAGCCUGACGGAGCAACGCCGAGUGAGUGAUGAAGGUCUUCGGUUCGUAAAACUCUGUUAUUAGGGAAGAACAAAUGUGUAAGUAACUAUGCACGUCUUGACGGUACCUAAUCAGAAAGCCACGGCUAACUACGUG
This 497-nucleotide ribosomal RNA is filed under the name uncultured bacterium. RNAcentral describes it as "partial 16S ribosomal RNA". It matches the Rfam family "Bacterial small subunit ribosomal RNA", at positions 28 to 507 of the family's 1533-position model. The record is from RNAcentral.